This 250-nucleotide ribosomal RNA is filed under the name uncultured prokaryote. Its description in RNAcentral is "partial 16S ribosomal RNA". It matches the Rfam family "Bacterial small subunit ribosomal RNA", at positions 524 to 773 of the family's 1533-position model. The record is from RNAcentral.
UACGUAGGGAGCGAGCGUUGUCCGGAAUUACUGGGUGUAAAGGGUGCGUAGGCGGGAAGGCAAGUCAGCAGUGAAAUUUAUGGGCUUAACUCAUAACGUGCUGUUGAAACUGUUUUUCUUGAGUGAGUCAGAGGCAGGCGGAAUUCCCGGUGUAGCGGUGAAAUGCAUAGAGAUCGGGAGGAACACCAGUGGCGAAGGCGGCCUGCUGGGGCUUAACUGACGCUGAGGCACGAAAGCGUGGGGAGCAAAC